Molecule: unclassified non-coding RNA, 181 nt
Filed under: uncultured Tremellales
Lineage: Eukaryota; Fungi; Basidiomycota; Tremellomycetes; Tremellales
Description: sequence contains ITS2
Source: RNAcentral
AACAUCAAUCCCCCUCGGGUUUCUGAUCUGGGGUGGACUUGGACUUGGGUGUCUGCCGUCUCCUCGGCUUGCCUCAAAUGACUUAGUGGGAUAAGCACCCACGGCCUGACGUGAUAAGUUUCGUCUGGGCCAGGUGUGACGUCUGCUCACAACCCGUGCUCAUGCACAAUCUCUUCUGACU